AGACAGAGACUCUCUACGCUUCUUUUCCCAGUCGCCUCGCCUCUUCUUCUUGCAGCCUUGCCUCUCGCUUCGAGCAUCUCUUGCAUCUACGACAUCCUGUCGCAGCUUCGUCUCUUCCUCUCUGCAGCUGUCGAGGCCUUGUCUCUGCCCUCUCUUAGUCUCGCCUCUCUGACGGUUUAACCUUUACUCUGCGGGACUCUCCUUCCAGCUCUCGGCAGUUGCCAAGUUAUUUUUUGUUUCAACAAUUUUGUUAGUCUAGGGUUUCUUCCCACUAAGAAGAGAGUAUUGUUGGGGCCGAGCAAGAGAGACAAGGAAAUGGAAAAGAAGGCAGACAUUCAAACUCAGCAUCACAAGAAGCAAGUGCAUCUCUUUUACUGUGCAGACUGUGAAGACCUUGCCCGUAAAGUUGCUGCUCACUCUGAUCUCAUCACUCUUCAAUCCAUCAACUGGAGGAAUUUUGAUGAUGGGUUUCCAAACCUUUAUAUAAACAAUGCACAAGAAAUGCGAGGUCAACAUGUAGCCUUUCUUGCGGCAUUCAGUUCCCCAGGAGUCAUCUUUGAACAACUUUCUGUCAUAUAUGCGCUCCCACGGCUGUUUGUUGCCUCGUUCACUUUGGUUUUGCCAUUCUUUCCAACUGGCUCCUUUGAGCGAAUGGAAGAAGAGGGGGAUGUUGCAACUGCAUUUACCAUGGCAAGGAUACUUUCAAACAUUCCCAUAUCAAGGGGUGGUCCCACUAGUCUAGUCAUUUAUGACAUACAUGCUCUACAGGAAAGAUUUUAUUUUGGGGACCAUGUUUUGCCUUUGUUUGAGACUGGGAUCCCUCUGCUAAAGCAACGUCUUCACCAGCUUCCUGACUCUGAUAAGAUUGUUGUUGCGUUUCCAGAUGAUGGAGCUUGGAAACGAUUCCACAAGCUGUUGGAUCAUUUUCCCAUGGUGGUGUGCACAAAGGUUCGUGAAGGUGAUAAGAGGAUAGUUCGACUAAAGGAGGGAAAUCCUGCUGGUUGUCAUGUAGUCAUUGUUGAUGAUUUGGUGCAAUCUGGAGGCACCCUUAUUGAGUGUCAGAAAGUGUUAGUGGCUCAUGGUGCGGCGAAAGUGAGUGCAUAUGUCACCCAUGGUGUGUUUCCUAAGCGCUCUUGGGAGCGAUUUACUCGUAAAAGUGAUGGCUCGGGGAAUGCAUUUGCCUUCUUUUGGAUCACAGAUUCAUGCCCCCUUACUGUCAAAGCCAUAGCAAAUAAACCUCCAUUUGAAGUUUUGAGUCUUGCUGGAUCUAUUGCAAAUGCUCUGCAAAUAUGAGUGAGCUAUCUUUAUGGAUUUUCAAAUCGGACCGCUGAAAACCUGAUGGGGACGCAUAAAGAGAACUAAUGGUGUGGGCUGGAUGACAGCGUGAUUGUGAACAAACGGCAGCAGGAAUGGGGCCCACUUGAAGUGUCUCCCAUAGCUCGACGAAUCGACGAUAAUAAACAGAACUCAAAGCAGACACUGACGUGGCCACGUGGGAGAGAGAACGGAGGAGGAAGUGCUUGCCAAGUAGUUUAAGGAUUAUCGUGCGCCUCUGUGCUCUUUCCCUAUUGGCUACGUAUGGUAUCAAGUCUGCUCUAUCCAGCUCAUACAUUCUUACAUGUAUACGUAUGUGCACUGAGAUUGACAAUGACAAAUCUGUAAUUACAACUAUUAUUAUUAUUAUUAUUAUU
RNAcentral lists this unclassified non-coding RNA (1691 nucleotides) under Hevea brasiliensis (rubber tree). Lineage: Eukaryota; Viridiplantae; Streptophyta; Magnoliopsida; Malpighiales; Euphorbiaceae. The record is from RNAcentral.